This 497-nucleotide ribosomal RNA is filed under the name uncultured bacterium. RNAcentral's name for it is "partial 16S ribosomal RNA". It matches the Rfam family "Bacterial small subunit ribosomal RNA", at positions 28 to 507 of the family's 1533-position model. The record is from RNAcentral.
GAUGAACGCUGGCGGCGUGCCUAAUACAUGCAAGUCGAGCGAACAGACGAGGAGCUUGCUCCUCUGACGUUAGCGGCGGACGGGUGAGUAACACGUGGAUAACCUACCUAUAAGACUGGGAUAACUUCGGGAAACCGGAGCUAAUACCGGAUAAUAUAUUGAACCGCAUGGUUCAAUAGUGAAAGACGGUUUUGCUGUCACUUAUAGAUUGAUCCUCGCCGCAUUAGCUAGUUGGUAAGGUAACGGCUUACCAAGGCAACGAUGCGUAGCCGACCUGAGAGGGUGAUCGGCCACACUGGAACUGAGACACGGUCCAGACUCCUACGGGAGGCAGCAGUAGGGAAUCUUCCGCAAUGGGCGAAAGCUUGACGGAGCAACGACGCGUGAGUGAUGAAGGUAUUCGGAUCGUAAAACUCUGUUAUUAGGGAAGAACAAAUGUGUAAGUAACUAUGCACGUCUUGACGGUACCUAAUCAGAAAGCCACGGCUAACUACGUG